Molecule: microRNA, 22 nt
Filed under: Columba livia (rock pigeon)
Lineage: Eukaryota; Metazoa; Chordata; Aves; Columbiformes; Columbidae
Description: cli-miR-205b-3p
Gene: cli-miR-205b-3p
Source: miRBase by way of RNAcentral
GAUUUCAGUGAAAUGAAGCCUG